CCUACGGGUGGCAGCAGUGAGGAAUAUUGGUCAAUGGACGAGAGUCUGAACCAGCCAAGUAGCGUGAAGGAUGACUGCCCUAUGGGUUGUAAACUUCUUUUAUAUGGGAAUAAAACGUUCCACGUGUGGGAUUUUGUAUGUACCAUAUGAAUAAGGAUCGGCUAACUCCGUACCAGCAGCCGCGGUAAUACGGAGGAUCCGAGCGUUAUCCGGAUUUAUUGGGUUUAAAGGGAGCGUAGGUGGAUUGUUAAGUCAGUUGUGAAAGUUUGCGGCUCAACCGUAAAAUUGCAGUUGAAACUGGCAGUCUUGAGUAUAGUAGAGGUGGGCGGAAUUCGUGGUGUAGCGGUGAAAUGCUUAGAUAUCACGAAGAACUCCGAUUGCGAAGGCAGUUCACUGGACUGCAACUGACACUGAGGCUCGAAAGUGUGGGUAUCAAACAGGAUUAGAUACCCUAGUAGUC
This 460-nucleotide ribosomal RNA is filed under the name uncultured bacterium. RNAcentral's name for it is "partial 16S ribosomal RNA". It matches the Rfam family "Bacterial small subunit ribosomal RNA", at positions 338 to 795 of the family's 1533-position model. The record is from RNAcentral.